Molecule: ribosomal RNA, 468 nt
Filed under: uncultured bacterium
Lineage: Bacteria
Description: partial 16S ribosomal RNA
Rfam family: Bacterial small subunit ribosomal RNA
Source: RNAcentral
GACGAACGCUGGCGGCGUGCUUAACACAUGCAAGUCGAACGGAAAGGCCCUGCGUUUGUGGGGUUCUCGAGUGGCGAACGGGGGAGUAACACGUGAGUAACCUGCCCUUGACUUUGGGGUAACUUCAGGAAACUGGGGCGAAUACCGGAUAGGAGCUCCUGCAGCAUGGGGGGGGUUGGAAAGUUUCGGCGGUGGGGGAUGGACUCGCGGCUUAUCAGCUUGUUGGUGGGGUAGUGGCUUACCAAGGCUUUGACGGGUAGCCGGCCUGGGAGGGUGACCGGCCACAUUGGGACUACGAUACGGCCCAGACUCCUACGGGAGGCAGCAGUGGGGAAUCUUGCACAAUGGGCGGAAGCCUGAUGCAGAAACGCCGCGUGCGGGAUGACGGCCUUCGGGUUGUAAACCGCUUUCGCCUGUGACGAAGCGUGAGUGACGGUAAUGGGUAAAGAAGCACCGGCUAACUACGUG